This 253-nucleotide ribosomal RNA is filed under the name uncultured bacterium. RNAcentral describes it as "partial 16S ribosomal RNA". It matches the Rfam family "Bacterial small subunit ribosomal RNA", at positions 524 to 776 of the family's 1533-position model. The record is from RNAcentral.
GACGAACCGUGCGAACGUUGUUCGGAAUCACUGGGCGUAAAGGGUGCGUAGGCGGGUCUUUAAGUCAGGGGUGAAAUCCUGGAGCUCAACUCCAGAACUGCCUUUGAUACUGAGGAUCUUGAGUUCGGGAGAGGUGAGUGGAACUGCGAGUGUAGAGGUGAAAUUCGUAGAUAUUCGCAAGAACACCAGUGGCGAAGGCGACUCACUGGCCCGAUACUGACGCUGAGGCACGAAAGCGUGGGGAGCAAACAGG